RNAcentral lists this long non-coding RNA (7051 nucleotides) under Populus trichocarpa (black cottonwood). Its description in RNAcentral is "long non-coding RNA (PTRI_LNC002655)". Lineage: Eukaryota; Viridiplantae; Streptophyta; Magnoliopsida; Malpighiales; Salicaceae. The record is from RNAcentral.
AAAGAUCUCAGUUAUGCCAAGCAGAAGAUUGAGGCAAUUGACGAGGAGAACUUGACCUACAGCUUCAGCUUGAUUGAAGCCAAUGUUUGGAAGGAUGCAGUUGAAAAGGUGACUUACGAGCACAAGUUCGUGCCAACUCCUGAGGGAGGUUCCAUUUGCAAGAGAACCAGCACAUACUACAUCAAGGGUGAUGCUGAGAUCAACAAAGACCAAAUCAAGGAUGUGUAUGGAAAAAAGACAGCAGGCUUGUUCAAGGCUGUUGAGGCCUACUUCUUGGCCAAUCCAGAUGCCUAAAUAUGGGAAUUCCCAUGUUUGAUAGUCUUUUUGGUGUGGCUUGUUUCUUUCUUUUCUCUGGCCUUGGCAGUAGUGUGGAAAAUGCUUUUUCUUAUUUUUUUGGAUAAAUGUUUUUCUGCCUUGAUAGUAUUUGAUUUUGUGGUCAUGUGGUUAUUUGUAUGGAAGCAUUUCUAUUAAGUUAUUGUAUUGUUUGCAAUAUUCAUAAUAAAAAGCUUUUUGUUUCCUUAUAUAUUUUUUGAGAGGACUUGAGUUUAUGGAACUUUCUUCUCUUUCCUUUUUUUUUUAAAUAAAAAAUGAUAAUACAUUGAAGAACAAAAACAUUUGUCUUGUCGAUUAUGUGCACAACUAUUCGGCCAUGUGGAAAGAUUUUAUAUUUGUAGAAUCCAACCAAUUGAAUGAUCAAGAUGGUUAAAGAAUUUUUUUUUUAUUAAACUUCACUUUAUUUAUAAGUGGGUAUUGUUAAACAAUCCAAAUCAAACAAAGAAAAAUACGAAGAUAAAAGAAAAGGAAGCUAGGAUUUCAUCAAUCACAAUAUUUUUAAGUUCAUAAUUUUAACCUAAAUACAAAAAAAAUUAUAUAUAGGCAAGUUAGUGGAAAGAUGAUUUUUUUGUAGAGAAAAGAAACUUCUGAAAUUACUCAACCUGAGUACUAGAAUCUGUGAUAGAGCCUGAUGAAACUCCUGCUGCAGUAUUGUGGUGUGGUGGUUUAUAACCAUUAGGUGGUGUAUGAGCAUUAGAUUGUGACUGGCUGCCAGACUUUCAAACUUGAUUUUGUUGUCUCAAGUUGGGACACUGAACACAUAUUUCUUCAGCUAAUAACUGAUUGACAAUAGAGUCAGCAGAAAGCAGUGGAGAACGAUGUAAAAUUGAACCUCUAAGUCUUUCAAAAUCACUGCGAAGUACUAUUAAAAAUUGUAUCAAUCGUUGCUAUUCUUUAUGAUCAAUAUAAGCACUAUAUGCCUUUAAUUCACCUAUUCUGUAAGAGCCAAUUGACCCCAAAGAUCUGUUAUAGCAUAAUAAAACUUCUAAAUGUUUAUAUUCUUCUGGUGAAGAGUUCUUAUAUCAUUCUCUAAUUGAUACUGCUUUGCAAAAUUUGAUUGCAUGAAUAAUCUUUGUAGAUGAUCCUAAACCUUCUUUGUUGUCUUAUACUUCAACAACCGUGUACAUAUGGAAUGCUCAACAGAAUUGUUGAUCCAAGUAAUAAUCUUUGCAUUGUUUGUUUCUCAUGCAUCUAUCAAAGCAGCAUACCUAGUCGGUCGUCGGAACCACUAAAAUAUAAUUCUGACUUAACUAUCACAAACAAAAUAAAUUUGUUUUAUGAUCGUGAAAACCAGAUCGAAUCCAAGAGAAAUUUCAUUUAAUCUUCUUACAGUAUACUGAAAUGAGAAAGAACGGGGGAUUUGAAUGAAAAAUUCAAGAAAUAAUAAUAAACAAAUUAAAAUAAAUUAUGAAGUCCAAUAUUCAGUAAACUCAAUGUUGAAGCAUAAAAUUUUAAAAAAAUUCCUCAAAAAUUUUGAGGACUAAAGUAAAAAAUACCUUGACAUUUCACUAUUCAUUGCUACAAUGAAAUGAUAAAGCCUUUUAAUAUAAUAAUAAUAAUAAUAAUAAUAAUAAUAAUAAUAAUAAUGUGAAGCAAUAGCAUCUAUAAAAAUAUAUGUGCAGUGCGCCAUGGUGAUAAAAUGAAAAAUCUCGAGUGUGUAGGCUCGAAGUGUCAAAGAACCAUCUCAACCCAAAAGCUUAAGCUGUUAGGUGAGGUCCCAAGGUAUGAUUUAUAUUAUUCUCUAACAUCCCCCUUAAAUGAAAGUUCUUUGGGCUUGAAACUUGCACAUGCUCAUUUUACCUUGUGCUUAAUUUUUAUCAAAUAAAUGGGGAUGACGAGAUUCGAACUCGUGACCACUUGGUCAUCAAGGCUUUGAUACCAUGUCAAAGAACCAUUUCAACCCAAAAGCUUAGGCUGUUAGGUGAAGCCCCAAGAUAUGGUUUAUAGUAUUCUCUAACACACCUCCUUAAGUGAAAACCCUUUGGACUUGAAAUUUGUACAGACUCAUAUUACCUUGUGCUUGAUUUUUAUCAAAUAAAUAGGGAUGUUGAGAUUCGAACUCGUAACCGCUUAGUCAUCAAGGUUCUGAUACCAUGUCAAAGAACCAUCUCAACCCAAUAGUUUAAGUUGUUAGGUGAGGUCCCGAUGUAUCAUUUAUAUUAUUCUCUGACAAAAAGAAAUCAAUGCAUUAAAGUAAAUGCCAGAUAUUAAGAGAUAUGCAUUAUCCAUAUUAAUUUUUUAGCAAAAUUAAUUUAUUGAUUUGGGAAGGUCUUUGCUUAGCUGUGACCCUAUCAGUCUCACAAUCUACUACACCCCAUCAAAAAAAUCAUGUUCUCCCAAGGUGUCUUGUAAUAAUGUAAGAAAUUAUUAGAUGAUACUAGAUAGGAAUGAUUAUAAUUGGAUCGCUUAAUUUAAAAAAUAUCCAAGCACAUCUCUAUUUAUUUAAAUUGGAAUCACUAAUAAUAUUAUAAAAAAGGACACUAAAAACAUGCUGUGAUAAUUCUUUUUAUUAUUUCCCAUAUCAAAUAAAUGGAUCAUAAAUGAAAAAUAUCAUUCUAAAAAUUAUUAAUUUUUUUAAUUAAAACAAUUACGGAAAAAAAAGAUAAAACAAUUAUUUGAGAAUUUUUUUAAAAAACUUUACAAGUCUAAAUUGAGACAAAAAAAAUCAGGAACUUAAUUGAGAUUUGGGCUAUAGUUUGAAAACUAAUUUAAGAUGUUUUUUUUUUUAUUAUUAUUAUUGCUGGAGGCAGUCGUGCCUACAAGAUUAUUUUUAAAAAUAAUGCAACUUGGAAUUCCCUUUUCAAUUAUCUCAAAAGAGAGAAGGAAUACUAUUUAUUUAUUAUAUAUUUGACGAUUAUAUUAUCUGGAGGCCUGUCAAAUUAUACCUUCUACAUUGGUUGGCGCUUCACUUGACCAUCUGCUAAUGAUUGUUUACGUUCUUUGUUUUUUAUCCUGUUGCUGUGGAUUUGGGGUUGCCUUCUUUGUCUGCGGUAGUAGAUGAUGAUGUAGGUUGUUUGAAUACAUUUAAAUAUAUUAAAAUAAUAUUUUUUUUAUAUUUUAAAAAAAAUUAUUUUUUAUAUCAACGUAUUAAUAUCAAAAUAAUUCAGAAAUAUAAAAAAAUUAAAAAAUUAAAUUUUAAUAAAAAAUAAAUUGAAAGUCAAUCUCAAACCCCUUGUAUCUCCAUCUCUAUUCUCUUAUAAUUAUUUUAAACUUUAGGCUUGACUUUAAAGUUUUCAAAUCCCCAUUUUUCAAAAUAUUUUUCCAUGAAAUUGAUAUACAGAUUUUCCCUCUUUCUUUUAUUUAUUGAAUAAAUGAUGGGGAAUAUAUAUAGUCAAUUAAAUUUUUUUUUUAUUUGACCAGGACAUGCAUUAUUUAAAACAAAGAAUGACCAUGAACAGAAUAUGAAGAAUUUAGGACUGCUCUUUGAUGCAUGUAUAUUGUGAUCGUUUCACACCACAGCCUUCAAUUUCAUCCAAUAAAUACUACCUCUCCUCCUCUUAUUUCAGCACCAAAAAAACAUCCCGCAAAUCAACAAAAUCUCUCCCCCUUUCAAUCUUUUUGUGAUCUUUAAAAAUCCUAAGUUAUAAUGGGUGUUAUCACUUUGGAAAAUGAGUUUGCCGUCGCUGUCGCCCCGGCCAAGCUUUUCAAGGCAUACUGCGUUGAAAUUGACACUCUUUUGCCUAAAAUUCUACCAGAGCACAUUAAGAGCUCCGAGAUAAUUGAAGGAAAUGGAGGGCCAGGAACCAUUAGGAAGAUCACUUUUGCUGAAGGUUAGUAAAUUAUUUGUUGCAAUUACUUUUAAUUCAAUUAACUAUAUUGAAAUCAGCAUACCACUCGCUGUAUGUACUGAACAAAGAAGUAAAGAAUUAAUAUUUUACUUGCAGGCAAAGAGCUCAGUUAUGCCAAGCAGAAGAUUGAGGCUAUUGAUGAAGAGAACUUGACCUACAGCUUUAGCCUGAUUGAAGCCAAUGUUUGGAAGGAUGCAGUUGAAAAGGUGACUUAUGAGCACAAGUUCGUGCCAACUCCUGAGGGAGGUUCCAUUUGCAAGAGAACCAGCACAUAUUACAUCAAGGGUGAUGCUGAGAUCAACAAAGACCAAAUCAAGGAUGUGUAUGGCAAAAAGACUGAAGGCUUGUUCAAGGCUGUUGAAGCCUACUUCUUGGCCAAUCCAGAUGCCUAAAUACGAGAAUUCCUAUGCUUGAUUGUCUCUUUUGUUUGCUUGCUUGUUUUUAAUCAAAAGGAGAGUGGCUUUGGCGUGACAAUAGUUUUUUUUUUCUUUAUUUUUGUUAUAUGCAUCCAGUAUUCCUUGCUGGUGUGGUUAUUUGUACCCAUUUCUAUCCGUGAGUGAACAUUAUUGUAUUGUUUGCAAUAUGAAAUAAAAUCCAACUUGUGAUUAAGUUUUUUUAUCUUCGCAUUAUUAUGAACAUCGAUUGAUUGAUUAUCAACAAUGUAUAUAAGCGUUUUUUUCAUUUCUCUGUGUGUGUAUAUUUGUUUGAAUUUCAUAUUAUUAGAGUAAAAAUUCCUAAUUAAAAUUAAGAACAUGAAUAUUUCAAAAAUAUACAUUACUUGCCGCAACAGGAAAUUCCAUAAGGAUAUAUACUUCAGUCAAUUAAAAUGUCCAAUCCAGGAACUCUAUAUAUACAAAGCAACGACUCAUCUCUCCAAUCUCUCUGCUUCUCAAGGAAUCACGAUUUAGGGAAAAAUCCCCAAAUUAAGGGGCAAACCACUAAAAGGAUUUGCGAAAAGUGUGAAUCUCUCAACCUACCAUUCCGAUUACUUAAUCCGACAUUAGUUAUUCUAAUCUUAGAUCCUAAACUUUUUUUUCAUGCUUUCAUCCCUGCAUGUUGAGAGUUGAAAGAAAAACUCAAAAAAAAAAAACAAGAGAAAAAAAGUGCUCUGUCAAGCACAUUUUAACUAUAUAUAUAAAAAAAAACAAUUUUUAUAUAAAUGAGUUUCUAUUACAAAUAUGAGUUUCAUGGAUGAAGGUAGUUGUUAGAGAAUAAUAUAAAUCAUAUCCUGAAACCUCACCUAAUUGUUUAAGCUAUUGGGUUAAGAUGGUUCUUUGAUAUGGUAUCAGAACCUUGAUGACCUAGUGGUCACGAGUUCAAAUCUCAUCAUCCUUAUUUAUUUGAUAAAAAUUAAGCACAAGGUAAUGUGGGCAUGUAUAAGUUUCAAGUUCAAAUGACUUUCACUUGUUGGGGUGUGUUAAAGAAUAAUAUAAAUCAUAUCAUGGAAACUUACCUAACAGCUUAAGCUAUUGGGUUGAGAUGGUUCUUUGACAUGAUAUCAGAGUCUUGAUGACCAAGUGGUCUCAAGUUCGAAUCUCACUAUCCUUAUUUAUUUGAUAAAAAUUAAGCACAAGGUAAUGUGGGUUUGUGCAAAUUUCAAACUCAAAAAGACUUUCACUUGAGGGGGUGUGUUAGAAAAUAAGCUAUUGGGUUGAGAUGAUUUUUUUAUUUAAAAAUUACAUAAAAAUACUUUUUUAUUUAAUUUUAAUUAUUGUCUUUUUACGAACAUUUAUUUUAAUUUCAGGUAAUUAAUUAGAAACAGGUUUAGGAGAAGUUCCCUGUGAGAGCAGGGACAUUGACUUACAAUAAAAGGUGUGAGAAAUUAAUGUUUCACGCUUAUAUAUAUAGGGUGGAAAAAAGUUAGCCCAUCUCUAUAAGCAUUAAACAUAUAAUUAGAUCUGUGGAUAAGGGUUUUGACUUGUGACUUUUCUUAUGUAUCCCCUGCCUUUUUUUUUUAUUAUUGUAUUAUGAUUUUUAAAAGACCACCUAACGGGGCUGCGCCCAGCAUGAAGGGCUGCCUCCUUUUUCAGCCUCCUUCCGACCAGGCACUUGAAAUAAUGAUAACGUAAGACUUCUUUUUGUAAUGAAUUCUACUACCAUGAAAUUGAUGUUCUAGAAUUCACCCCUUUUUUUUUUUUUUGUAGUAUUGAAUAAAUGAUGGAGAAUUGUCGAUUAAGAAUUUUAUAUGGUUUCGUAGGUGCUUUAUUUGACUAGGACAUAAAUUAUUUAAUUUAAACAAGUAAUGACCAAGAACAGAAUAUGAAGAAUUAAUUAGCACUGGUCAUCGACACAUAUAUGUGAUCCUUUCACACCACAUAGCCUUCAAUUUCAUCCUAUAAAUACUACCUCUCCUCCUCUUGUUUUCAGCACCAACAAAAACAUCUUGCAAAUCAACAAAAUCUCUCCCCCCUUCUCAGUCUUUUAAAAUCCUAAGUUUAUAAUGGGCGUCAUCACUUUGGAAAAUGAGUUUGCUGUUGCUGUCGCCCCAGCCAAGCUUUUCAAGGCAUACUGCCUUGAGACCGACACUCUUUUGCCUAAAAUUCUACCAGAGCACAUUAAGAGCUGUGAGAUAAUUGAAGGAAAUGGAGGGCCUGGAACCAUCAGGAAGAUCACUUUCGCUGAAGGUUAGUAGAUUAUAUGUUGCAAUUACUUUAAUUAUAUUAACUAUAUUGAAAUCAACAUACCACUCGGUAUAUACAAAGUAACAAAUUGAUUUUGCUCUUGCAGGAAAAGAUCUCAGUUAUGCCAAGCAGAAGAUUGAGGCAAUUGACGAGGAGAACUUGACCUACAGCUUCAGCUUGAUUGAAGCCAAUGUUUGGAAGGAUGCAGUUGAAAAGGUGACUUACGAGCACAAGUUCGUGCCAACUCCUGAGGGAGGUUCCAUUUGCAAGAGAACCAGCACAUAUUACAUCAAGGGUGAUGCUGAGAUC